UACGUAGGGUCCGAGCGUUGUCCGGAGUUACUGGGCGUAAAGCGCGCGCAGGCGGCCCGCGAGGUGUCACGUGAAAGCCCCGGGCUCAACUCGGGAGGGUCGUGGCAAACCGGCGGGCUUGAGGCCGGUAGAGGUGGGUGGAACUCCUGGUGGAGUGGUGAAAUGCGUAGAGAUCAGGAAGAACACCCGUGGCGAAGGCGGCCCACUGGGCCGGUACUGACGCUGAGGCGCGAAAGCGUGGGGAGCAAACAGG
RNAcentral lists this ribosomal RNA (253 nucleotides) under uncultured bacterium. RNAcentral's name for it is "partial 16S ribosomal RNA". It matches the Rfam family "Bacterial small subunit ribosomal RNA", at positions 524 to 776 of the family's 1533-position model. The record is from RNAcentral.